GGAAGAAGGGUGUUCACGUAAUCAAGCAAAAAGAAAUCUACAGGAAGCUUACAUCUAACAAUAAAAUUUUAUCUUCUCCCCUUUUUUUUGUACCCUAGUUGUGGUUUGGCUUCAAUGGCCACUCUUUCCUGGAAGACCAGUUUCUGUCUUUCUCUCCUCCCUCUUCUUAUAUAAUCCCCCCUCCUCUGUUCACAUUUCAACACCAUCCCUCUAGCUUGCAUAGCUCUCAAGCUUCCACUGAUAUACAAUCUUUCUUAACCCCAGAAGCUUAUAAGAAGGUUUGGAUAUAUUUUCUUUGUUUGUUUUGCUAACAAUGGCAUUAGAUCGUGCAGUUGAAUUCGAGGACUACUUCCCAUCAAUGAUGGAGCGAUUGGGAGCUGAAGGAUUUAUGAUGGAAUUAUGUAACGGGUUUCGCUUGCUAAUGGAUGGUGAGAAGGGAUUGAUUACGUUUGAAAGCUUGAAGAGAAACAGUGUUUUAUUGGGGUUGCAGGACAUGAGGGAUGAUGAGCUUGUGUGCAUGUUGAUGGAAGGUGAUUUGGAUGGAGAUGGAGCUAUAAAUCAGAUGGAGUUUUGCAUUCUCAUGUUUAGACUGAGUCCAGGGAUGAUGGUUGGACCCAAACAAUGGAUGGAUUACGAAUUUGAUGUAAAUAACGAAAUGUCGUAGCUAGCUAUAGCCCUUAUGUCUAAAUUAAUUAUGUUUCUUCCUGUUAUUUUCAUGUUUAAGCAACUAAUGUUUCUCAUGUAAUCUGAGUAUUAAUUAGUGCAAUGUCAUGUUAUGAAAAUAAUGAGCUAGAUAUCUGUAGAAAUUCAGUACAUAUAACAGCAUCAUCUUCUAGGGGCAUCAGAUGAAUGUCCAGCUAAGUGGGCACUACAAGGUGUCAGAAACAUAUAACUAUGAAGUCGUUUUUGUUUUUGUUU
This 918-nucleotide unclassified non-coding RNA is filed under the name Hevea brasiliensis (rubber tree). Lineage: Eukaryota; Viridiplantae; Streptophyta; Magnoliopsida; Malpighiales; Euphorbiaceae. The record is from RNAcentral.